Molecule: ribosomal RNA, 467 nt
Filed under: uncultured bacterium
Lineage: Bacteria
Description: partial 16S ribosomal RNA
Rfam family: Bacterial small subunit ribosomal RNA
Source: RNAcentral
GAUGAACGCUGGCGGCGUGCUUAACACAUGCAAGUCGAACGGAAGGACGCCUGCUUGCAUGGGUACUCGAUUGGCGAACGGGGGAGUAACACAUGUGGGAUCUCCACCUCACUUCCUGAUAAGCCUGCGAGACUGCGGCUAUUACCGGGUAGAACAGUUUUAUGGAUGCCGUUGUGGAAAGUUAGAUCGUUUUGGUCUCAGCUCGCGGCGUAUCCGCGUGUUGUUGGGGUAAUGGCCUACCAAGGCGUGGACGGGUAGCCGGCCUCUGAGGGUGUAAGGCGACCUUGGGUCUGAGGGACGGCCCCGGCACCUACGGGACGGAGAAGUGGGGAAUCUUGACCAAUGGGCGCCAGCCUGAUGCUGAGAGGCUGCGUGGCGGAUGACGGUCUUAGUGUUGUAAACCAUUUUCGCAAGUGACGAAGCGCAAUGUGACGGUACCUAGAGAAGAAGCCACGGCUAACUACGUG